UUAAAUAUUUUCUUGUUUCCAGCCAAUUUGUUCUUUUCAACCCGACUUGAAAACCUCAACUCAUACUCCUUAAUUUUAACGAUCGGGCACAUCAACGACUCGACUCUCAUCACUGAGGCCGGGGCGUAUCAUUUGGUAUCAGAGCUAGCUAAAAUUGAGGAGUACGGACGUUCGUGAAGUUGCCGAAGUAAGUGAUCGAAAAAAAUCGAGCAAAAAAAAAGAAAGAAAAAAAUUGAAAAAAAGAGGAUUUCGUGAAUUUUGAAGAUAUUUUGGUAUUAUUCAAUUGUACUUGAAGUGAAAAAAAUCGAAGUAUAAAAAAAAAUAAGAAGUGAAAAGUCUUGCGAGUUUUAUUUUGUUAUCAAUUCUUGUUACUUCCGAACAUCCAUUCAUUCUACCAUUCCUUCUACCCCCCCAAAAACGCCACAUACUUU
Molecule: long non-coding RNA, 431 nt
Filed under: Gossypium raimondii (Peruvian cotton)
Lineage: Eukaryota; Viridiplantae; Streptophyta; Magnoliopsida; Malvales; Malvaceae
Description: long non-coding RNA (GRAI_LNC008330)
Source: RNAcentral